CCUACGGGAGGCAGCAGUGAGGAAUAUUGGUCAAUGGACGAGAGUCUGAACCAGCCAAGUAGCGUGAAGGAUGACUGCCCUAUGGGUUGUAAACUUCUUUUAUAUGGGAAUAAAAUGUUCCACGUGUGGGAUUUUGUAUGUACCAUAUGAAUAAGGAUCGGCUAACUCCGUGCCAGCAGCCGCGGUAAUACGGAGGAUCCGAGCGUUAUCCGGAUUUAUUGGGUUUAAAGGGUGCGUAGGUGGAUUGUUAAGUCAGUUGUGAAAGUUCGCGGCUCAACCGUAAAAUUGCAGUUGAAACUGGCAGUCUUGAGUACAGUAGAGGUGGGCGGAAUUCGUGGUGUAGCGGUGAAAUGCUUAGAUAUCAGGAAGAACACCGAUUGCGAAGGCAGUUCACUGGACUGCAACUGACACUGAGGCUCGAAAGUGUGGGUAUCAAACAGGAUUAGAUACCCUUGUAGUC
Molecule: ribosomal RNA, 460 nt
Filed under: uncultured bacterium
Lineage: Bacteria
Description: partial 16S ribosomal RNA
Rfam family: Bacterial small subunit ribosomal RNA
Source: RNAcentral